GCUAAUUUUUAACAAUACAGGCAACUUUAGUUAUAACUAAAGCCCAGUUCCCUCCCCUGCAGAGGUAGCCUGCCCUGUCCAGCCUGCCCAGUCCCGCCUGCCCUGUCCCGCCUGCCCUGUCCUGCCUGCCCAUUUGCAAAUAAGAUAAAAUCCCUACGUCUCUUGGGACAAUUAAGAGCUUCCAAGGCCUGCAGCGGGAAGCUGAGAUGCGCUCCUGGCUGUGGGGGCUGCCCAGUUCCAGUCCGGGUCCCACCCUUGUUUGGCACCCUGCCUUGCCUGUUCUGAAAGCUGGAAGCAUCUGGGUGUGGCUGGCCCCAGACACCAUGGGAGACAGGACUGUGCUCCAGGAUGCCAAAGAGGCCAGGCAUGGUGGCUCAUGCCUGUAAUCCCUGCACACUUAUCCACGCACGGUUUCAGUUACCUGAGAUCAGCCUCAGUCCGAAAAUACCAAAUAGAAAUUCUGCUGAUAAACAAUUGGUAAGUUUUAAAUUGUGGCUGUUCUGAGUAGCGUGAAGAGCGUGAUGAAAUGCUGUGCUGUCCUGCUCUGUCCUGCCCGGGAUGUGAAUCAUCACUUUUCCAGCAUGUCCAUCCACAAUGCAGGCACUCCCCAACUGUUAGUCACUUAGAGAUGCCUCAGUUAUCAGAUCAACGUCAGAGAGUCCAGCCCAGCAGUGCUUGUGUGCCAGUACCUCUUCUUUGACUUAAUAAUGCCCCUAAAAGUGCUAGAGUAGUGAUAUUGGCAUAUUGUUAUAACUGUUCUAUUUUGUUAUUGUUGUUGUUAAUCUCUUACUGUGGCUAAUUUAUCAAUUAACCUCCAUCAUAGGUAUGUAUGUAUAGGAAAAAACAAACUUAUAGGAUAGUAGGGUAGUAACCCUACCCUAUAGGAUGGUAGAGUUCCAUACUAUCUGUGGCUUCAAGUAUUCACUAGGAGGCUUCAAACAUAU
RNAcentral lists this long non-coding RNA (944 nucleotides) under Callithrix jacchus (white-tufted-ear marmoset). Its description in RNAcentral is "lncRNA (ENSCJAG00000077580.1)". Lineage: Eukaryota; Metazoa; Chordata; Mammalia; Primates; Cebidae. The record is from RNAcentral.